Molecule: ribosomal RNA, 513 nt
Filed under: uncultured bacterium
Lineage: Bacteria
Description: partial 16S ribosomal RNA
Rfam family: Bacterial small subunit ribosomal RNA
Source: RNAcentral
GACGAACGCUGGCGGCGUGCUUAACACAUGCAAGUCGAACGAGAGCGUAGAGAAAGCUUGCUUUUUCUACAAUCUAGUGGCAAACGGGUGAGUAACGCGUAAACAACCUGCCCUACGGAUGGGGACAACAGCUGGAAACGGCUGCUAAUACCGAAUACGUUCCGAAAGUCGCAUGACUAUCGGAAGAAAGGAUGGCCUCUAUUUAUAAGCUAUCGCCGGAGGAGGGGUUUGCGUCUGAUUAGCUAGUUGGAGGGGUAACGGCCCACCAAGGCGACGAUCAGUAGCCGGUCUGAGAGGAUGAACGGCCACAUUGGAACUGAGACACGGUCCAGACUCCUACGGGAGGCAGCAGUGGGGAAUCUUCCGCAAUGGGAGAAAGCCUGACGGAGCAACGCCGCGUGAGUGAAGACGGCCUUCGGGUUGUAAAGCUCUGUUAUACGGGACGAAUAAUCUUGUGGUUAAUACCCAUGAGAAGUGACGGUACCGGAAGAGAAAGCCACGGCUAACUACGUG